UACGGAGGGUGCAAGCGUUAUCCGGAUUCACUGGGUUUAAAGGGAGCGUAGGUGGGUUGGUAAGUCAGUGGUGAAAUCCCCGAGCUUAACUCGGGAACUGCCAUUGAUACUAUCAGUCUUGAAUACCGUGGAGGUCAGCGGAAUAUGUCAUGUAGCGGUGAAAUGCUUAGAUAUGACAUAGAACACCAAUUGCGAAGGCAGCUGGCUACACGAUUAUUGACACUGAGGCUCGAAAGCGUGGGGAUCAAACAGG
This 253-nucleotide ribosomal RNA is filed under the name uncultured bacterium. RNAcentral describes it as "partial 16S ribosomal RNA". It matches the Rfam family "Bacterial small subunit ribosomal RNA", at positions 524 to 776 of the family's 1533-position model. The record is from RNAcentral.